CAUUCAGGGUGAGCAACGCCAUGGAAGAACCGAAAAGACAGAUGCAUGCUUUUAUAAUUAAGUGAAAAAUUAUUUCGAAAAUUUCGUCUGUAAUGCAUGGUUGCAACACAAGGCGGUAUAACCAACCAAGAUGGGACAACACUGAUCAACUUAAUUAAAAUCUAUGUUUUAAUAUCGCUGACCGUGAAAUCCGCAAGCAGCCAGUGUACACUUUGAAAAGUCAAGGACGUUUAAACAAGAGGCUGGACUUUUGGGAAAAUGCCGAAAGGAGCAGCUUAACACGUUUCCCUCAAUGACGAGCUGAACUGGCCACAUGGACACACCUUGUGGCUGCCUUCCAAGCUCUCUAAUGCUGCAAUCUCGCGGCCGACUGGCGGUGCAAUGCUGUAAAAUGGCGGGACACAUCACAGGGAUCGAACGGACCCAUGUAAUGGCGGGAGACAGAGGAAAAAAAGGCUUGAAAUAAUGUCAGCCGCCGAGUAAAUCAAUGAGGCUAACAAAAAAGACUUGCCAGAUUUAGAAUAAACUGCACAAUUCGGUGCUAAACUGUAAUCUAAUUUUCCCAAAGUAAUCUUCUGUUGCUAAUACUGCACGAUUUUCAUUAUUUCAAGGACAUCAGCCCUAGUAGGGUUCUCAUUGGACGCAGUCAUCAAUUAACUUACCUUUCAGAAAUUGGGCAGCUCGAGCAGGGAUAUCACAUGAUCCACUGGGAGUGUAGCAGGAUUUCAAUGCGACGCAGAAUGGAGACGGUUGCGAUUAUCCACAACCUCUAAGCACUACCAGUGGAGCGAAUAGGUACAGCUCCACAGUGAUCAUAUUUGUAACGCAAUCACUGCUCAACAGUACAGCAUAUUUUAAGGCUCCAGUGUUUUCUUCCUUAAAACAGAAAGGCCUGGUAAUAUUUUACUUCAAAAUAGAAACCAGUAUAAUCUCGGUUUUAGAAAAAUUCAAUUAUAAUUUGUGCAUUUUACAAACAGCCCUUAAGCAUAUUUCUGGUUGUGAACACAUUCGUUUGUCCAAAUUAAAUCGAUUUUGUCAAGUGAGGUUGGUUCAAAAAACUAGUGUAGUAUACUGUUUAACUCUGGAACGGUGUAAAUGGAAAGCAUAAAUUUUAAGGCAUGGUCGUUAAACAACCUGCAGGAUCCCUUAGUACACAAACAACAAUAUUCACAAAUACAAAUAUUCACUUCUACUAAUGUAUAAUAAUAGCACCAGAGGUCUGGCAAGCUUUGCAUGGAUUGCUGCUUAAAGAAUCAUAGAAGCACACUCAACUGCAGUUAUAAAAAUGUCUUUUUUAGUUAAAUACCAUGAACUGGAUAUUAUCCACAAAAUACUCUCAAAGUUAGUCCCUGAAGCCAUCAUAGCAAACAUCUGAAGUCCAUGAAAUUUGCCUAAAGCUCAUCUCAUAGUCAAAAAAGGAAACUGAACAAUUCCAAUGAACUAACAGAUAAGUUAGCUUAUUAUCAGUGAUAGGAAAAAUAAUGGAACCAUUCAAAGAUGCAGCAGGAAAAUAUCUAGAAAACGAAAAUACAAGAAUAGUCAACAGAUUUCAAAAGGGAAUUCCAUUCUUGAUUAACCUAAUUGAUUUCUUUGAAGUAGUAACAGGAAAAAGUAGACAAGGGUAAUGCAGGGAUUUGAUAUAUAUAGACUUUUAAAAUGCCUUCAAUAAGAGCAUAACUAAGAUUAGAGAAUGAGUCAAGGAACAAAUCACUGAAUGGAUAGCAAACUGGCUAUAAAACAAAAAAGAGAGAAUUAAAGUUUACGGUAGUUACUCAGACUGGGGAGAAAUGGGAAGUGAUGAUCCAAAAAAGAACAAUCCUCAUGGUCAUCAAUAAUCUAGCCCGAAGCAUUAACAAAGCUACAUCAACUACCAUCUUUCACAAGCAGGAUGGCUUGAGUCACAUGCACCGCAGUCAUCUUAAUUAUGCCUUAUACUAUACAACAUUGCUCGAGGCUAAAUAAAGACAGAUUGAAGUUGGGAUCUUGUUGCAAGUUUCAGCAAUGUCACCAUCCUGUUGCUUAGCAACCUGCAGAUAUUUCAGAUUUAAAAUGUUUGUUUUGCUCUUUACAAUUCAUUUUUAAACUACAUAUCUAUAAUAUUAAAUAUCUUACAUUUGA
Molecule: long non-coding RNA, 2118 nt
Organism: Carcharodon carcharias (great white shark)
Lineage: Eukaryota; Metazoa; Chordata; Chondrichthyes; Lamniformes; Lamnidae
Exons: 3
Source: RefSeq, a predicted model, not a curated record